AGGUAAUUCCUGCCCAGUGACUUUAUAAGUUUAACGGCCGCGGUAUCCUAACCGUGCAAAGGUAGCAUAAUCACUUGCCCAUUAAUUGUGGGCUAGAAUGAAAGGACCGACGAAAUAAAUACUGUCUCUACAAGUAAAAUAAAAAUUAACCUCCAAUUGAAGAAUAUUGGAUAAUAUCGUAGGACAAGAAGACCCUAUAGAGCUUCAUUUAAUAAAAGACUAAAAACUUUUUUAUAAUUUGGUUGGGGCGACCAGGGAUAUAUUAAAAUCAUCCCUAACAAACAGAUAUAUCAAUCUCUUUUAUGACCCUUAAUAAAGAUCACAAGACCGAGCUACCUUAGGGAUAACAGGCUAAUCCUAUUAAAGAGUUCUUAUCAAUAAUAAGGUUUGGCACCUCGAUGUUGGCUUAGGGAAUCAAUGUGGCGCAAAAGUCACAUAAAGAUGGUUUGUUCAACCAAUAACCCCCUACGUGAUCUG
This 477-nucleotide ribosomal RNA is filed under the name Bimastos tumidus. Its description in RNAcentral is "partial 16S ribosomal RNA". It matches the Rfam family "Bacterial large subunit ribosomal RNA", at positions 1850 to 2607 of the family's 2925-position model. The record is from RNAcentral. Lineage: Eukaryota; Metazoa; Annelida; Clitellata; Crassiclitellata; Lumbricidae.